RNAcentral lists this small nuclear RNA (148 nucleotides) under Monodelphis domestica (gray short-tailed opossum). RNAcentral describes it as "U4 spliceosomal RNA (ENSMODG00000027059.1)". The stretch from base 1 to 69 matches the Rfam family "U4 spliceosomal RNA". The record is from RNAcentral. Lineage: Eukaryota; Metazoa; Chordata; Mammalia; Didelphimorphia; Didelphidae.
AGCUUUGCUCAGUGGCAGUAUCAUAGCCAAAGAGGUUUAUCUGAGGUGUGAUUAUUGCUAAUUGAAACAGAAGAACAGACAGAUGAGAAAAGUUUGUUCCAGUGGCCCUGAAGGCAGCUAGAGCAGAUGCAGAAUUUGGUCAAGGUCA